AGAUUUUCAUAUAUUUAUUGAUCUAUUUGAUUUUAACCAUUUUUAAAAUUUAAAAUUUUCUAAUUAGGUAUGAAAAUAGAUUUUAAAAUAAUACUAAGAAUUUUUUCGCCUUAAUUGGAUUGUUUAAGGUUGCAUCCUUAUAGAAACCCCACCCAUAAAGGGAAAAUUUUAUAUAAGGUUGCAAUAAAAGGGAAAGCUUUCUAUGUUCCCCCUACAACAUAGAAGUUAUAUCCUCCCCUUACCAUCUAGCUAUCCAUUUUUUAUCAAGAGAGCCACUCAUUGUUUGAUCUUAGAUCCGACGUCUCAAAGUAUUUUAUUUAUAAUUUUAUUUAUACAAAUUGUAUGAUUAUACGUGUCAUCUUUUCAUUGGGGAACACCUAUAAAAAAUAUUUAAAAUAAUUUUCGAUAAAAUAUAAUGACCAAAAUUCCUCUUGAAACUUUUUGAGGUAUUUUGGUUAUUUUAUUUUAUUGAAAAUAUUUUUUUAUAUAUUUUUUGCUAGUGCAAGUUUAAUAGACGAAUGGACAUCAAAAACUUGGUGUCAAAAUAGUUUAAAGAAAAAAACGUUAAAAAUAAAAUAAUGUAGAGACGUGACAUUGAAAUUAGGGCACUCUUAGCCCUCCAUUCAGAAUGGACAGUUGGAUAAGGGGCACGAUAAAACUUCUAUGCUGUAGGGGAAGCAUAAAAAGCUUGUCCAAUUUAUUUUUGUUAUUUUUCUAAAAGUCUGACAGGG
This 731-nucleotide long non-coding RNA is filed under the name Amborella trichopoda. Its description in RNAcentral is "long non-coding RNA (ATRI_LNC001201)". The record is from RNAcentral. Lineage: Eukaryota; Viridiplantae; Streptophyta; Magnoliopsida; Amborellales; Amborellaceae.